RNAcentral lists this ribosomal RNA (446 nucleotides) under uncultured bacterium. RNAcentral describes it as "bacterial SSU rRNA". It matches the Rfam family "Bacterial small subunit ribosomal RNA", at positions 355 to 825 of the family's 1533-position model. The record is from RNAcentral.
UGGGGAAUAUUGGACAAUGGGCGCAAGCCUGAUCCAGCCAUGCCGCGUGAGUGACGAAGGCCUUAGGGUUGUAAAGCUCUUUUGGCGGGGAAGAUAAUGACGGUACCCGCAGAAUAAGCUCCGGCUAACUUCGUGCCAGCAGCCGCGGUAAUACGAAGGGAGCUAGCGUUGUUCGGAAUCACUGGGCGUAAAGCGCACGUAGGUGGGCAGUUAAGUCAGGGGUGAAAGCCCGAGGCUCAACCUCGGAAUUGCCUCUGAUACUGGCUGUCUAGAGUUCGAGAGAGGUGAGUGGAAUUCCUAGUGUAGAGGUGAAAUUCGUAGAUAUUAGGAAGAACACCGGUGGCGAAGGCGGCUCACUGGCUCGAUACUGACACUGAGGUGCGAAAGCGUGGGGAGCAAACAGGAUUAGAUACCCCCGUAGUCCCUGAGCGGCUGGCAAGGCGCAU